UACGAAGGGGGCGAGCGUUGUUCGGAUUUACUGGGCGUAAAGGGCGCGCAGGCGGCUCAUUUUGUCAGGCGUGAAAGCCCCGGGCUUAACCUGGGAACUGCGUUUGAGACGGAUGGGCUAGAGUUCGGGAGAGGAGAGUGGAAUUCCCAGUGUAGAGGUGAAAUUCGUAGAUAUUGGGAAGAACACCGGUGGCGAAGGCGGAUCGUCUGGGCCGAGUACUGACGCUGAGGAGCGAAAGCGUGGGGAGCAACAGGG
This 255-nucleotide ribosomal RNA is filed under the name uncultured bacterium. Its description in RNAcentral is "partial 16S ribosomal RNA". It matches the Rfam family "Bacterial small subunit ribosomal RNA", at positions 524 to 776 of the family's 1533-position model. The record is from RNAcentral.